Paramuricea clavata is the source of this 730-nucleotide non-coding RNA. The record is from the annotation of a GenBank genome assembly. NCBI's taxonomy places the organism in Eukaryota, Metazoa, Cnidaria, Anthozoa, Malacalcyonacea, Plexauridae.
GAAAGAAGUCUGGGAUUUGAGGGAUUCAAUAAAAUAAAAUGGGAGAUGUAAAGGGAAAGAGGUUUCCGUUGCAAAAUAGGAAUUGCAAAAAUAAGAUUUUCAAAAAAGUAAGUGCAAGGUUUUUAAGACGUCAAGCGUGGAAUGGCGGCCUGGGUGGGAUGGAACAUUGAAGAAAACCUGAGUUAUCCAAACUUGUGAAUUAGGUGGCAAUGGUGCAAACAGCAACAGCUAAAUUUGUAGAUGUAUAGAUAAACUCCUUUUAAAAAUGAGCCGGGUAUAGACCCAUUGCACUGACGUCACAAAUCCUUAGAGUGUUCUCCAGAUGCUCCCUAAAAAUAUCUGUUCGGUUACAACAACCACAUACAAUACAGGCCAAAAAUUAACCAUUUUAAUACAAAAAUUUUAUAAACUACAAAAUUUGCUUUGUUUACAAAAUCUAUAUUAUGCAUAGAUUGCUAAUUUGUCCUCCAGAUGCAUCGUCACUGGCGCUGUGACGUCAUGUGCAAUGGGUCUAUAGAGGGGGCUUGAUUUCUCUGGAGAAUAUUAAUUAACUGAACAAAAGAGGAAUUUUAUAUUCCAAAACAGAAAUUUUGAAAUUACCAGUUAAGCAAGUAUUAAAAUUUACAUGUAAUAAAAUUGUGUAUUAUAUCGCAUAAUUAUUUUCUAUAAAACUUCUGUAAUGUUACCCUGGUUGCCAGAGGUUCUGUAUCUUUCGCCUUAUUUCCGCUCG